CAGCAGGAAGUUUAGGGAGUGAAGGAGCUCCAUGCUGGGUGCUGCUCAUGCCCUAGAGAAGAGAAAUGCUGGGUACCCCAAGCCUUGGAGAAACGAGAGAGGAAGUGAGGGGAGACAUUUCCUUCAAAAUUGCCAAUUUAAGCAUUUGUUAAGGUGACAGUUUAAUUUUUACUUCUCCUUCUGGCUUUUCUGCAAGUGCCCCUCAGAAAUCCUCCACCCUGCACCCAUCUGCUGGCCCCAUCCCAGAAGGGGAAGGUUGGCAGGGAGCUCCCCAAGUCCCUUUGUGCUGUCAGGGAGCUGGGCCAGGGGCGCUGCUGGAUCUGAUCCCUCUGGAGGGAGGAGAGGUUGGCAGGAGUUAAUUGUGGGAGUUCUGCAUGUGGCAGCCCUACAAACCCACAGCACCAGAUGCAGGCUGUGGCUGCUCCUUCCUCCGACCUAAAUAUCCCCCAGAAAAGCAAUUCCUUUGGAUUUGUCCAUGCCCUGCCUCAGCAGAUCCAUCGUAAACCUGCCUCUGGCUGCUCUUCCACCAGCCAGCCAACCUCCUGUGUGGUUUGAGGAGCCUUGGGUUGCAUGGCAGUUCUGUAUCAAAGGGAGUAAUCCUUUCCACAGGGUUCUCAGGAGUGCACAGGUUCUAGUUGUACUUUUUCCCCCACAUUUUGGAUGUGCUGUUGAACCAUGGGCUAUAACUUUGUUAUUUUUUUCCUGCCUUUAAGCACAACUAAACCACCUGCUGGAACAGCUCCUGUCUGCUCAUCAGCAGGGAUUGCAAAUGUUGUCUGACCUGAAAAAAAGCCUAGGAGUUGUCCCUAAAAUAUAAAUGUAAACUUUUCUGGUCAUUUUAUGGGUUUUUUUUUUUUUGAGUGUGCUUGGUAAGCAUGAAUGGUGACCAGGUCAUCAGGCAGGCUUGGGAAUCUCUAAUCCCCUGGCUGGUGCUGUUUGUGUUUGCUUUGUUAGAUUAGAUCUCCUGUCAGAAAAGAAAAUAUAAUGUGGACUCUUUUCUGUAUUUAUCAGCUUUUCCUGGUUUUAAAGCCAUGAAUAGAGGAAGCUUUGGUCAUGCUGGUUUUUGUGAAAUUGCACAUUUUUGCCUGAUAUGUACUUGACUCAAAGCAGAUCCUGUCUGGGCUUUAUGGGCACCCCAAAAUCUCAGCUGCUGGGGGUUGGAUCAGGUUUCUCAUGUGCCAACAUGACAUGCAGCGAAUUUUGUUUCUAGAUUUCACCAAAGUUAGAUCUGCAUCAACUGUGAGGUGUUCAAACCUCACUGUUUUAUAGCACUGUUUCUAUGUUAUUAAAAAGUAAGGAUUUGACCCAAAGACUUUCAUUCCUGAUAGAUUUUCUCAUGAAGCUUAACAACUGAGCCCUUCAAUUGCUCAUCUCAUUUACAAAUGACAGCUUCAUAAUUGCAUUUAAAGAAAAUAAGAGAAAAUGCCCAAAAAAAUCAAAAAGCCAUUAAGGAGUAAGCUUUAGAUUUAUCUUGGAGAAUCAAACUUUCAGUGAGGUGCAAUGAGGAAUUACAAAGUGCUGUGCCAUCCUGAAGAGUGUUACCACUUCCUUUCUGUAAUUUGUUGGUAAAGUUUAGUAGAUUUUUUAGAUCUGUCCAUGUCCCUUUCUGUGUGUGUGCACACGUGUGUGUGACAGGACAGGGGACAUUGUAUAGGCUGUCUGUAAAAGAUACAAAGGCAGUAUUUGGCUGGAAAUAACAAGCACAAUUUCCCUGGCUUUUGCAGUAUUUUAUUGUACAAUCGCAAAGAUUUCAACAUUUAGGACAGUUGUUAAGUAAAGAUCCAGCCCCAGAUUUCUGUGCAGCAGAGUGGUUGACUUGAUCUUGGGAGGGCAAAAUGAGAAACAGAAUGUAUUGAUUAAAUCUAUUUUAUUUUUGCUUUAAUUUUGGUACAUUGCAAAAUUAACUGCCUUUAUCUGUUAGGGUUUUAAUCUUUUAAUAAUUUCAAAAAUUACUUUAAAAUUAUUUUUUAUAAAAUAACUGAAAAAAAAGGACGAAAAAUCCAGAAGCUUCAUCUUGUGAAUGUUCCCUGCAAUCAAAAUAUUUUUGUGAUCAUUUAAAGUUUGUUUUUUGUUGUGGGUUUUUUUUUUUUUUUUUGAGGAAAAAAGAAAGAUGAUGUCAAGGUUGUUCCAAGUGGUACUAAAUGUGUGUUGAGUAGUGUUGUGUGUGUGUUGCAUCUCUGUGGAACUGUCUCGUGCUUGCAGGAUAGAAAUGAUUGGUGCUGGCUGGGUGGGAGUAGCACUUGCAAUGCCAAACCAGGCCCAGAAGGACCCUCAGCUGACUCUGAAGGGCAUCCCUGGCACUGCAGGGUUUUCCCUGGAGUUGUGGCAUCACUUGGCAGUGCUGGGGGCUCUCGGGGGUGGAAUUCAUCCACUGCUUCUGUCGCUGCCGUAGGUGAGCACUUGUGUGAUGCUGUGUGGCCACGCCACUUUAAACUAAGCCUUAACUAAAUGAGAAAUGUGUCAGAUUCCUCUCUCAGAGUAUGCAAAAUACUGUUCAAGGACAGGAGGAUGUUCCUGUAGAGCUUCAGUGUUAGCAAAGGCAGUCUCCUGACGUGAGAAACAAGGGACACCUGUGGCUGUCUGUACUGUGAUGCCUCUUUGGGCACUGGCUGUCGCGGGCCCUUGGGCGUUCCUCUGGCAGCUGACCCCAAACAGGCUUUCCCAAAUCCCAGCUUUUUGUUGUCCUUGUUGUCAGACCUAUUCUUCUCCAUUCCCCUGCCAGCAAAUCUCUGCCUGAAGGAGGAUUGUGAUUUAACAUUCAUAUUUUACAUCCCAAAAAAAGCCAUUCUUGAAUUCUGUGCUUGCUUUUCGGGUAGGUGCCAUUGCUUCCACUUCUUAUGACUGACAUAGGAUCCUUAAAACAUUUUCAAUAGAGGCAAAAAAAAAAGUGUUGGGGACCCAGCUUGCUUUUGUUUUAUUUUUUUUCCAAUUUGGAUCUACCUCAUGUAACCAGUUGGGUGCUAAUUACUCAAAUUGUCAAGGAGAUUUGGCAAAGGCGACCAAACCGACCCCAUCCGCGGCCCAAACCCUCGGGUUUCUUGUUCUGAAACAGCAAUCUUAGAUUUGAGUUAAAUUCUUUGUGCCUUUGUGUUUUUCUUCCCCAGUGCACAACAAUCAAAACUCAUCUUCCUGAUUAAAAACAGCAGAUGGUUUUUAACCGCACCACAAAAAACUGAAUUUGAAAAUAUUUUUCGGUGUAGCAAGUUGUAAAAUCAAGUAUCACAGCUGACCUAGGCAAAGAGAAAUACCCAAUAAAGAAGGUUUUGGAAAUGUUUAAUCCUGACCCCAGAUCUCUACAUCUCUGUGUCUCUAUAUAUGCACAUAGAACACGACUCUGUGUGUGUAUGUGUAUAUAUAUAAAUAUAAAAUGAAGGGAUACACGUGUAAGAGUGAGGGAAUAAAACAUCAUUGACCUUUCCACAGUUUUGUAUGUAACAGUUUACAACUAUGUGUAAGUUUUUUCUACUGUGUGAACCUUUUUUACUCAAAAAGAAUUCCUUUUUGGAAAGCUUUAAGUUGUGAUAUGCUAUCAUUUUUUGAAGUUUAAAAAAUUUUUUAAAAAUCCACUAUUUACCAGUACCUAAUACAGAGGGGAAAAUCUUUGCUGUAAAACUGUAUUUAGUUUAAAUAUUAAAAGAAAAAAAAAAAUCUAUAUAUGGGAUUGUAAAAGUGCAUUCCAUCAUGACAGGACUUCCCAGCUGUUUCCUAAGGCUUUCUGUUGCAGAGAGACUCAAGCAAAAGGAAAAUGCCUCUGUUCAGUGUUUUUAUAAAACUGCUCCAUCAGGUGUAGACUUAAGCUAUAUUUUCUAAAGCCUAAUCAUCCUUUAAUAUGCUGCAGAUAAAUUAUCAGCAUGGUUGCACUUUCUCAGUAAUAAUGUUUGCCCUGCAAUUGGCUCGUGAUAAGGACUUUAGUUUUUUAACAAAACCAAUCGUACUUUGGGCAGAAGGUAAUAUUUAUAUAGGUACCUCAAGAUUAAAAAAAAAAAGAGCCUGAAUAUGCUGCAUUUUGUUUCUUUAACAUUUUUCAUGUAGCAUUUGUUUGCUUUUCUGGUUUUUUAGGAGAUGACUUAGCUACCUGUUUGCUUUGGGGGACACCAGUAGUGUUUUAGCCGUUGUUUUCUCUGGAUCUCGCAGAAUGUAGUAUCCUGCCUUGGGAUCAUGCAGGAGUUUGGGGUGGGAUGUGCCUGCAGUGUGCACACACGGGGAGGGGGACCAUGGAAAUUUGCUUUAUAGACUUCAGAAAAGGAGGAAAAGGAUACUAUAUUCCUAAAACAGACAAUACAUGUUCCUAAUUCUUAAUUAUGGUUUGCGGGGUUUUUUUGGCUUGUUCUGCUUUCUUGACUCUUUUCUCAAAUACGAGUGUGGAAAGGAGCAGUUGAUUAUUGGGGGCACAUAGUGACCAAACCUGCCCCACUGGUGGGUGUUUUGGGGGUGAUUCCCCAAAUUCAUGGGUAAGAGCAGGACCCUCCUGCUCUGCCUGCUCCCUACUGCAGGUCCACCCUCUACUCCUUCAUUUCCGAGUCAGUGAAAAUCUAAAAACGUGCAGAGAUGGGGAAUUUUUUUUGAGAACUGUUGAAGGAAGCUUCAAAGGCUGUGAAAUUGAGCAUUUAUUGUCAUGUUUUUAAGCUUAGGUGGGUCCUUUUCCAAGUUUGUUUUACAGCUUGCAAGGUAAAAUAGUUUGCACUACUUUUGCAAUAAACUCAUGAAAAACCUAACAGGUUCUGUUCUGGUUUCUUACUGUAUAUAUACAACUAAUACUAAAGAUUUAGCAUAGUGUUUUUCACCUCAAAACAUAAGACUUGUAACAAGCUCAGAAUGCUGUAAUUCCUGACAAAAUAAUGAUGUGAAUGAUAUUUUAUAAAGUUAUUUUGUAUGGUGUCGAUUUUGUUUUGCCUCAUAGUAUGUCAAUAAAAUAAAAUUCCUCAUCUUUACAAGA
Long non-coding RNA from Taeniopygia guttata (zebra finch), 4936 nucleotides. The record is from Ensembl. NCBI's taxonomy places the organism in Eukaryota, Metazoa, Chordata, Aves, Passeriformes, Estrildidae.